This 375-nucleotide long non-coding RNA is filed under the name Gadus morhua (Atlantic cod). RNAcentral describes it as "lncRNA (ENSGMOG00000035655.1)". The record is from RNAcentral. Lineage: Eukaryota; Metazoa; Chordata; Actinopteri; Gadiformes; Gadidae.
AUCUUUUUUCCAAAUAUAGGUCGUCUUACAAUGGGCAGAGUGGUAGAUAUAACAGAGUGGCGACACUUCCAUUGGACUCCGUUGUAGCGCCUACUUCCGGGGUAUGGAGCCUCGAAUAGUUCCAAACAACCAUUUUACGGCGUAGGAGACCGUUCAUUUCCAUUGCUGGCCGCCGAGUAACUUCUGAGUUGCCUUAUUAGGUCCUCCACAGUCGCCCCAUCAGUCCCUGGCGGUCUGGUCCCUGGCGGUCUGGUCCCUGGCGGUCUGGUCCCUGGAGCAGCUGGCCCUGGAGCAGAUGGUCCUGGCAAAGUUAUAACUUCACUGUUGACCCCUGACUGACUGGCCCUCGGCACACACAUCCCUGGAUCACCUGCC